Molecule: ribosomal RNA, 509 nt
Filed under: uncultured bacterium
Lineage: Bacteria
Description: bacterial SSU rRNA
Rfam family: Bacterial small subunit ribosomal RNA
Source: RNAcentral
UUCUGGCUCAGGAUGAACGCUAGCGACAGGCUAACACAUGCAAGUCGAGGGGCAGCAUAGAAGUAGCAAUACGUUGGUGGCGACCGGCGUACGGGUGAGUAACGCGUAUGCAACCUACCUAUCAGAGGGGAAUAACCCGGCGAAAGUCGGACUAAUACCGCAUAAAACAGGGGCACCGCAUGGUGAUAUUUGUUAAAGAAAUUCGCUGAUAGAUGGGCAUGCGUUCCAUUAGGUAGUUGGUGAGGUAACGGCUCACCAAGCCGACGAUGGAUAGGGGAACUGAGAGGUUGGUCCCCCACACUGGUACUGAGACACGGACCAGACUCCUACGGGAGGCAGCAGUGAGGAAUAUUGGUCAAUGGGCGGGAGCCUGAACCAGCCAAGUCGCCGUGAAGGAAGAAGGAUCUAUGGUUCGUAAACUUCUUUUGCAGGGGAAUAAAGUGCAGGACGUGUCCUGUUUUGUAUGUACCCUGAGAAUAAGGAUCGGCUAACUCCGUGCCAGCCGCGGC